AUGCGUCAGAUACUCGGGAUGUAUCUUGAUAUGCCUGGGGAAACGUACCAAUCAAAGCUGACUGUGACCAUGAAUAGAAGACAUUCCUUGUAUUGUUUCUUAUGCACUACCAGCUUACGUUCAAAGGGACUCUCAUUUCUUUCUGCCUGAGGAGUGAAAAUACUCAGAUGGGUAGUAACUAGGGUGCCUUCUCAUGAAUACCAGUGUACAUGAUCAUUUUACAUGUAUUUUUACAGUGCCUUAUGCAUGGAUAGUACUCAAGAAAGAUUUACUGAAAUGAACUAAACUGAGAUUAAUUUGCUUAUUAUAAAGCUCAUACUAUAGCCAAAACUUGGGGUAUGAGAGAAUGGGCAGCAUCUGUCAUCAUACAGAUACGUAUUUCUAAUAAAGUUUGAACUCUGGAGGAAUUUGUCUUCAUUCCAAGCCUUCUAUUAGGACUCAUUCAUAGUAUGAGAGAAGUUGAGAAGUCUUGUCAACACCACAUCAUUCAGGUCAUAGAUGGAUCCUUCCCACCCUGAAAUGUUAUACGUGGCCACGGCAAUAAUAAAUACAUGGCUAGCGCUGUCCUGAAGUAUUUGAAACCCAGGGUUAGAGCUAUCUAAGUCAGCACUGAUAACAUCAGAAUUUUAUUACAGUGUGUCCAUCCUGGCAACAUUGUGACCCAAGCAGCUAAUGGAGUAGCAGCCUGUUUCUUGGAUGAAUGAGAACAAGUUCAUUCACAGGAAUAGCUAAGUGCUUUAUACAAGUGGGGCACAUACAGCUAAUGCUUUAAAUUAAAUUUAACUUUUCUAAUAUGAUGAAAUAUUCUGGAAAUUCUGAUAUCUAUAUACGUUGAAUAAUGUGUUAUAGCACUUAUGAUUUUUUAAAAACAUCUUUGUUACUGUUAGUUCAUGUUAAAUAAGCAAAUAAAAAUAUCUGAGCUUAACAUUUUAUAUUUCUUUUUAAAAAUUUCCUCAGCUCAAUUUCCUUUAAUUCUUUGUGCAAAAAUCCUUACAACUAAAUUCAUAUUAACUUGGCUAAUAAAAAUGUCAU
This 1032-nucleotide long non-coding RNA is filed under the name Canis lupus familiaris (dog). RNAcentral describes it as "lncRNA (ENSCAFG00000054930.1)". Lineage: Eukaryota; Metazoa; Chordata; Mammalia; Carnivora; Canidae. The record is from RNAcentral.